UGAGUUUUAAACGGCCGCGGUACUCUGACCGUGCAAAGGUAGCAUAAUCAUUUGCCUUAUAAUUGAAGGCUGGAAUGAAUGGUUUGACAAGAAUACAUCUGUCUCUUAUUGAUUUCCUAGAAUUUAUUUUUGGAUGAAAAAGUCCAGAUAAUAUUAAAAGACAAGAAGACCCUAUCGAGCUUUAGAGAAAUUAGUGGAUUUAAUAAAGUCAAUAGAAAUAAAAGUAAAGCCAUUAGUGUACUUUGGUUGGGGCAACCAAGGAGUAGAUAAAGCCUCCUUUAUAUUUUAAAUCGUACUUGUGUUGAUCCAGAAAUUUUGAUCAAAGGAAUUAGUUACCGUAGGGAUAACAGCAUUAUCUUUUUUAAGAGCCCAUAUCGAAAAAAAGGUUUGUGACCAUGUUGGACCAGAAUAUCCU
Molecule: ribosomal RNA, 415 nt
Filed under: Conus princeps
Lineage: Eukaryota; Metazoa; Mollusca; Gastropoda; Neogastropoda; Conidae
Description: partial 16S ribosomal RNA
Rfam family: Bacterial large subunit ribosomal RNA
Source: RNAcentral